AGUAGUUUGAUCAGUGGCUCGAGGACGAACGCUGGCGGCGUGCCUAACACAUGCAAGUCGAACGGACUGAUAGGAGCUUGCUCCUUGAAAGUUAGUGGCGGACGGGUGAGUAACGCGUGAGGAACCUGCCUUUCAGAGGGGGAUAACGUCUUGAAAAGGACGCUAAUACCGCAUGACACCGGAUUGUCGCAUGGCAGACCGGUCAAAGGAGCAAUCCGCUGAAAGAUGGCCUCGCGUCUGAUUAGAUAGUUGGUGAGGUAACGGCUCACCAAGUCGACGAUCAGUAGCCGGACUGAGAGGUUGAACGGCCACAUUGGGACUGAGACACGGCCCAGACUCC
This 340-nucleotide ribosomal RNA is filed under the name uncultured Oscillospiraceae bacterium. RNAcentral's name for it is "bacterial SSU rRNA". It matches the Rfam family "Bacterial small subunit ribosomal RNA", at positions 9 to 339 of the family's 1533-position model. Lineage: Bacteria; Bacillati; Bacillota; Clostridia; Eubacteriales; Oscillospiraceae. The record is from RNAcentral.